RNAcentral lists this ribosomal RNA (1195 nucleotides) under uncultured bacterium. RNAcentral's name for it is "bacterial SSU rRNA". It matches the Rfam family "Bacterial small subunit ribosomal RNA", at positions 93 to 1309 of the family's 1533-position model. The record is from RNAcentral.
CAGCGGCAGACGGGUGAGUAACACGUAGGCAACCUGCCCUUCAGACGGGGAUAACAGUUGGAAACGGCUGCUAAUACCCGAUAGUUACCCGGGGUUAUGGAGAUUCGGGGUAUAAAGUUACGGCGCUGAAGGAGGGGCCUGCGGCCCAUCAGUUAGUUGGUGAGGUAACGGCUCACCAAGACAAAGACGGGUAGGGGGUGUGAGAGCAUGGCCCCCCACAAUGGGACUGAGAGACGGCCCAUACUCCUACGGGAGGCAGCAGCAGGGAAUAUUGCACAAUGGACGCAAGUCUGAUGCAGCGACGCCGCGUGGAUGAUGGAGGCCUUCGGGUUGUAAAAUCCUUUUCUGGGGGAAGAGAGAGGACGGUACCCCAGGAAUAAGUGUCGGCUAACUACGUGCCAGCAGCCGCGGUAAUACGUAGGACACGAGCGUUAUCCGGAUUUACUGGGCGUAAAGCGUCUGUAGGCGGUGCGGUAAGUUGGCUGUGAAAGCCCCAGGCUUAACCUGGGGAGGCCAGUCGAGACUGCCGGACUUGAGGGCGAGAGAGGGGAGUGGAAUUCCCGGAGUAGCGGUAAAAUGCGCAGAUAUCGGGAGGAACACCAGUGGCGAAGGCGGCUCCCUGGUUCGCACCUGACGCUGAGAGACGAAAGCUAGGGUAGCAAACAGGAUUAGAGACCCUGGUAGUCCUAGCCGUAAACGCUGGACGCUAGGUGUGGGGUCGAGAGGUUCCGUGCCGCAGCUAACGCAGUAAGCAUCCCGCCUGGGGAGUACGGCCGCAAGGCUAAAACUCAAACGAAUUGACGGGGACCCGCACAAGCAGCGGAGCGUGUGGUUUAAUUUCGAUGCUACACGAAGAAACCUUUACCUGGGUUUUGACAUGUAGGGUGGUAGUGAGGCGAAAGCCGAGCGACCCUUUCGGGGAGCCUACACAGGUGCUGCAUGGCUGUCGUCAGCUCGUGCCGUGAAGGUGUCGGGUUAAGUCCCGUAACGAGCGCAACCCUUUACCCUUUAGUUACAAGUGUCUAAGGGGACUGCCGGCGAGAAAGCCGGAGGAAGGUGGGGAAUGACGUCAAGUCAGCAUGGCCCUUAUAUCCAGGGCUACACACACGCUACAAUGGUCGGUACAAAGGGCAGCCAAGCCGUGAGGUGGAGCGAAUCCCAACAAAGCCGGUCGUAGUUCGGAUUGCAGGCUGCA